CUGUUACCAUACCGACGUGGUACGGACUCCGUUCUCUGUUCUGGAAGGUUCUGCUUCUCAAUCCCCUUCUCAUUCUUGGUUUCCCUUGUCUCUGUAUCAUCUGUUCCUACUCUCCUUAUGCUUUCCUCCUGUGUCAUCUAAGUGUUGGGCUCUACUUCCUCACCGUUCCUGUGUCUUAAUCCCCGUAUCUUGGUUUGAACAUCUUUCUCUUCACCUUUUUCCUUCUCUCUCAACUUCAGUUUCCCAUUGACUUCUCCCUGCCUUCAUCUCUAUCCCGAAUCUCUGAAUUCCUAUAUCCUGAUUUAUUUCACCAGCCCCAUUUCUGUUGCACACCCUUACCCAUUCGUUGGCAAAACGAGUGGAGAAACGCACCAAGCGUUCCUCAGUGAUCUCAGAAAACUGAACGAGAAGCCGGUCAGCUUACUCAACAGCUCAGGUAGUCAGCUCUUUUUACACAUCAUCAUCCCUCUAAUUCAGGGACAAAUCAUUUUCACUAUGUUCUAGAAAGUUAGAUUUCUUCUGCAGUCUUCACCACAAACUUGCUGUGUGACAUUGAGCAAGCUAUUCUCUGUUUCUGAGCUGCAUGUUUUAAAAAAAUAUGUGCUUGGCAGGGUUGGGGGUGGGGGGGCGGAGUAAGUAUUAGAAGACUCUGGACCAUCUCGGAGCUCAGAGAAGGGAGUUAUGGUUCUCAGGCUCCCCGUGGAAGGACAGUGCUUGUCACAUCUGUGCCUCUGGAGCUCUCCGUGAGAGAUGCCUGCUCAGGAGGUCCUGUUGACGGAUAGAUUCUUUUGUUAACAAAUGGGACUAAUAUUCCAAGAACCCCACUGGCCUAAGUUUGUUUCUCUGCCAAAGUGAGCUAUCAUUAGCAUUUGAGGCAAACACCCAAACGACCUAACCAACGUGGAUCUCCAUCCAUCUGGGUUCACAGGACGGAGGAUGUACACGAUUAAGCGGAGGGCGCGUGAUUUACAGUAAUCCCCAUGACUUUCCAAAGGAGAAUGCUGGCUUGGGGAUACCACCGGAGGUUGUGUGCUGAACACUACCAUAUCAGACACGCACCGUACCUGAUUUCACCAGGGUGCCCACGCUUAUCUGGCAAGGUGUUAAUUUAUGGAUCAGAAAACCGAGCUUCAAAGAAGUUAGCUAUGUUGGUGGCUGGACCCCCAGGAGGCCGACACUGCGCCAGGUAGACAAGUGGAAGCCACACAUGCCAGUCAGUGGGAGGAGGGACAGAUGUGCAGCUGUUGCUACUGAAAUCAGCCGACUUGAAUAAGCCCGUAUUUGGGUCCUGGACAAUCUUAAACAUUCUAUAGCUGGUCUUCCAUGCCUU
This 1330-nucleotide long non-coding RNA is filed under the name Vulpes vulpes (red fox). RNAcentral describes it as "lncRNA (ENSVVUG00000011655.1)". The record is from RNAcentral. Lineage: Eukaryota; Metazoa; Chordata; Mammalia; Carnivora; Canidae.